CGGCGCUCGAUCCGGUGACGCGCCGGCCACCGCCGACGCCGCCGACCUAAUUGAGCUAUCGGAGGUGAUGCGGUCUUUUGGCAAACAUGCCCUAUAUUCUAUGGUUUGGCAUCUACAGGAUGCCAUCUCUGGUCAUGUAUCCACUGUGGCUGCUUCAUCCUUCACUUAGGACCUUCUCACCCCCACAGAGAUCAGAGAGAAAAAUAUGUUUUGGAAGCAGGAACCCUUACCUCAUAAGAUGGGUGAGCUGUAGGAUUUGGUUCUGUUGAACUUGAAUUAGUUUUUGCUCAUCAUGUUCUCUGUAUUAGGAAUUCAGGUGCCUUCCAACUCUAAUUUUUUCGUAUUGUUGGUGCAUGCUGGGAGUCACAUUGUUAUGCAUGCUAGCAAACAUUAGGAUUGGAAGUCUUACCCUGUAGGUUAUUAAUAUCUUUUCCACUAACCGAGAUUCAGCAAUUUAAUUCGUAUGGUCGCACAAGCAGUUUUGUUUUCGAAUUUAUCUUGACAAACGUAUUGGGUACAUCAAUUUAAUUCAUAUUAAGGUCACACAAGCAGUUAGUUCCAUUACACUUGGGUCACCGACGGUUGCCGUGCAACUAUGCUCCUCUCAUGUUGUAGUGGCUAGCUGCUGCAAUUCACGGAUCAUGCUCUCAUGGGAAGGAGGCUGUGGCUUUCUCAAUUGAUCAGAACAACAGGACCCCACAUAGUUCUUUUCUAGAUAUAUAUUGUUAUUUAUGAUGUUGUGUGGACCAUCAGAAACCUGAUGUGUGUGUGUAUCAUAGAAUAUCUUGCUAUUUAUGUAUAUUGCUUACCUUUCAUUCCUGUACCACUUCUCUAAAUAUAAGCCACUUCUUUUCUAUUGUUAGCGCUAUCUUUUGAUGUUAAUGCACUAAAAAUCUAAAGCCUUUCCCUCUGCAAAAUGUUGAUAUUAGAGCGUUUUUUGUGGGAAAAUGAUGAUAUUAAAGCUAUGCGUCUUAUAAUCCGUACUGUACAUGACAAUGCGUAUUCAGUUAUAUUAUGUUUGUAGCAUGGCAUUUUUCCAUUCCUUUUUUUCCCGAUGAAUCACAUGGUAAAUUUUGAUGUACAAUGACUGCUCUUGCAAAAAAUGUGGAAUUCAGAGAGGGACUCUACAACAAGCAAGGUUUUAGGUUCUGAAUCUAAAUAACCUCUUCUUCGGUUCAGUCCUAGAAAAAGCUGAUCAGAGAAACAAAGAAGCAACAAUGAAUGGGUCCCUUUCUUGACCACACAAGAGUUGUCCGUGUGCAAGUCAUGAACCGUUUGUCCAUCAAUACAAGUGCAGGAUUUGAACAUGUUAAUUCUGACCUUCUGUUGGGAGUUUAUAUUAUACCUUUCAUGCGAAGUAGUUACAUUUAUCACAUGGAAGACAAUGCCCAUGGAGUGGAAGGUGGAGAGAUUCAGACU
Long non-coding RNA from Triticum dicoccoides, 1419 nucleotides. RefSeq lists it as uncharacterized. The transcript has 3 exons. NCBI's taxonomy places the organism in Eukaryota, Viridiplantae, Streptophyta, Magnoliopsida, Poales, Poaceae. The record is from RefSeq and is a predicted model, not a curated record.